AGCUGAGGAAGAGAAGCACUGAGCUGGAGCAGCUCUCACACACAGAGGAUCACAUCCAUUUCCUCCAGAGGUAUCAGUCUCUCUCCAGUAUCAGUGUAUCUUCAGACUUACCCAGCAUCGUUGUCCGUCCUCUUCAGUACUUUGGAGAUUGAAUAUAGUGGAUGUUGUACUGCC
Non-coding RNA from Oncorhynchus mykiss (rainbow trout), 174 nucleotides. The record is from RefSeq and is a predicted model, not a curated record. NCBI's taxonomy places the organism in Eukaryota, Metazoa, Chordata, Actinopteri, Salmoniformes, Salmonidae.